Paramuricea clavata is the source of this 511-nucleotide non-coding RNA. Lineage: Eukaryota; Metazoa; Cnidaria; Anthozoa; Malacalcyonacea; Plexauridae. The record is from the annotation of a GenBank genome assembly.
GGCCAAAGAAAACAAAAUUUCUAUAUAAUAACUAUCUACAAUUACAACGCAUUUAAAACUAAGGAUUUAUCUAUAUAUUGAAUGCUAGGUUUAGUCUCAAGUGCACCUGCAAUGUCCAUUUGUAAUUAAAAAACAAUAUUAAAAACCAUCGUGGUUUGUGUAUCGUCUGGAUAAUGCAGGACUGCAUGUUAAUUAUGUAAAGUAGCAUUUCAAUAAUGUAUUUUUAGAUGACUUAUUUGAUUUUCCCGGCAAUGAUUGUUAAAAAUUGCAGUAAUUUAUGGAAUUACUUUAUCUUACAGUGUCGUUUCCUGCCUAGUUUGAGAUAUUUUCUCUGCAGCUUGGGAUGUAAGUUUCGAAAAAACUUACUAUUCAACAAAUAAAAAAUUCUUAAGUAAAGAUAAAAAACCCAUAUAGUUCUCCAGUUUGUCCAGUAUUUCCUCCGGCGUCCAGCAUCGUUCAGAUGAGAGCAGUGCUUCAGACCAUGAAUUCAUUACAACUCUUAUGCUGAACU